This 258-nucleotide ribosomal RNA is filed under the name uncultured bacterium. Its description in RNAcentral is "partial 16S ribosomal RNA". It matches the Rfam family "Bacterial small subunit ribosomal RNA", at positions 96 to 354 of the family's 1533-position model. The record is from RNAcentral.
UGGCGGACGGGUGAGUAACGCGUGGGCAACCUGCCCCAUACCGGGGGAUAACAGCCGGAAACGGCUGCUAAUACCGCAUAAGCGCACAGCGCCGCAUGGCGCGGUGUGAAAAACUCCGGUGGUAUGGGAUGGGCCCGCGUCUGAUUAGCCAGUUGGCGGGGCAGCGGCCCACCAAAGCGACGAUCAGUAGCCGACCUGAGAGGGUGACCGGCCACAUUGGGACUGAGACACGGCCCAAACUCCUACGGGAGGCAGCAG